This is a long non-coding RNA of Apis florea (little honeybee), 334 nucleotides long. The record is from RefSeq and is a predicted model, not a curated record. NCBI's taxonomy places the organism in Eukaryota, Metazoa, Arthropoda, Insecta, Hymenoptera, Apidae.
CGACUGAUUGCUGCCAUUACUGUCGGGAUACAACAUUUUCCACAUGUGCGGCCCGUUGCGGUCCGCGUAACCGAACGUGUACCGUGGAAAAUUGCAUUCUUCCGCCCAGGGGAACAAUUGGGUCCAGUCGAGGACCUCGACUGGGUUGGAAAAAAAAAGUUAAAAUUAAAAAAGUUCAAAAAAAGCGCGAUGAAAAUGUCCACCAUGUCGCACGAUGUAAGUAAAUCGUGGUAUAAUCACGCGCAAUGAUCAACGUGUCGAAGACAGAUGAUGCGAUAUGAGUGAAGUACAGGAAAUGGAGUGCGCCGGUAAGAAAUUUUCUGAUUCUAAAAAG